CCCCACCCCAGACCAGACCGGGCUUGGCCCCCGGCCGCGGCCACGGCCGCGACCCCUCCGUCCGCAGCUCUCCGUGCGGCUCUGCCCGCCGCAGCGCUCUCUGUGCCACGGGCGGUGCUCCCGAGACAGGCAAGGCUCUCCCCCUCCUUUCCUCCCUCCCUCCCCUGUGCCGCCGUCUCUGUCGCUGUUUACCCUUGCAAAUAGCCGAUGGUUAUCGAUGAGAGGCUCGGGAGCAGCCCCGGGAGGGACGAGAGAUUGUCUGGAGACCCUCCUGCUGCUCCCUGAGCGGUGGAUACGGCCGGGAGCGGGCAGGGGAGGCGGGGAGGGCUCUAAAUCGCUGCUCGCGUCUGCCUAGACCCGCGGGUCCGGGGAGAGGACGGGGUGUCCCAGGAGGGAGGGGACGUGAGACGCUGCCUAUGAGCGGUGACACGUGCUGGCACCUGAGCCACCGACCCCACCCCGGGGGGAUCCCAGGUGUCCAUCCAACAGGUGGCCUACUGGGCUCGACGAGCGUUGCCAAGUUGCCGCGCGUCCCGCUGACGCCAGAAUCGGUCUCAUUUCCCGCAGAGCUAUGCGAGUAUACAUUUGGGGAUCUCCUCCCGCUCCACCUUCCCCCCGGUCACCUCCAGUCUCCCAGCCGAUACCUGAUCGUGCAGCAGCUGAGAUACAGGCAGGGCUUUCCCUGUCGCCUGGUUCCUUCAGUGAUCUCUGCAGACUGCACCUCGGAAAGUAAAACCAUCCCUUCUGUACCCAGAUAGGAGCAGAGACAUCUUGCUAUGAGCACACAGGUUGGCAGAGGGCAGCGCCAGAAGCUGGCAGAUGAUUUCACAUCUCCCCCACGCCCUGCGAGAGAACUGGCGAAGCAACAUGGCGUUGUGAAAGUGGACGACAAUUGGCGAUCACGGGCAGGCAGCGGGGAUCUUCCUCGCCCACAAUGAGAAGGAAGCGGCUUGGAGCGGGGACACGGAGCUGGCACAGCGGCAGGAAAGCGGCCUCGGGUUGCGUGCAAGAGUCGGCGGAAUUUCUUCCUUUAGGUAUCCGUGCUCAGGUCCAGGGGGCACGCCUGGCUAGAGACGGACCUUCAUUGUUCGGCCGCUCGUUAUUCUGCAUGUCACAGAGGUUGCUACGAGACCACUCCCUUUUCUCCGUGCCACUAUUUGACUAAAUAUACUUUGGCUCCCGGGACGUUGCGAAUUGUCUUCAGAGCGUGGGAACCCCGGCGUGUGCCCUCAGCUCCGCUCAGCCGCUUGGCACCGCCGCCGCUCCUUCUCCCCGGGUAUCUCGGGCUGCUCCUGCCGGGCGGGGGCUCUCCUCCUGCCCCGGAGACAAUGAGAGAGCCCGGCCCAUUGUCUCGGCUCAGCACAGCGCCGCGCGUGGGUCCGGGGACGCGGGUGGCGGUGCCAGGCUGUGCCCAGGUGGGAGCCGCCGUGUGCGGGGUCGCCGGGAACCGGCUCCCCCAGGCGCGUCCUGGAGAACCGCGGGGCUCAAAAGCAGAGAACCGGGUCGGUUCCAGAAGAGAGAACGUGUUGGAAGCGCAGUCAGCUGUCGGAUAUUUAAGAAUGGGAUUUAGCCUUCAGCAGGGCCACAUAUGUAAGUGCUUAUCUAAAGAAGACAUAAAAUACAAUCAGCUUUGGAAAAAUUCAUGAUUCAGCAAAAAUAAAGGGAGUAAUAUAUUUACCCGGAGAUGCA
Molecule: long non-coding RNA, 1689 nt
Organism: Numida meleagris (helmeted guineafowl)
Lineage: Eukaryota; Metazoa; Chordata; Aves; Galliformes; Numididae
Source: Ensembl